ACAGCAGCAGCCGCGGUAAUACGUAGGGUGCGAGCGUUAAUCGGAAUUACUGGGCGUAAAGCGUGCGCAGGCGGUUCGUUAAGACAGAUGUGAAAUCCCCGGGCUUAACCUGGGAACUGCAUUUGUGACUGGCGAGCUAGAGUAUGGCAGAGGGGGGUAGAAUUCCACGUGUAGCAGUGAAAUGCGUAGAGAUGUGGAGGAAUACCGAUGGCGAAGGCAGCCCCCUGGGCCAAUACUGACGCUCAUGCACGGAAGCGUGGGGAGCAAACAGGAUUAGAUACCCCUGUAGUCCCUGUCUCUUAUAC
Molecule: ribosomal RNA, 305 nt
Filed under: uncultured bacterium
Lineage: Bacteria
Description: partial 16S ribosomal RNA
Rfam family: Bacterial small subunit ribosomal RNA
Source: RNAcentral